GGCUCGGUGGUGUAGUUGGUUAUCACGUCAGUCUAACACUCGUUAGUCCCACUGAAGGUCCCGAGUUCAAACCUCGGCUGAGUCA
RNAcentral lists this transfer RNA (85 nucleotides) under Bimuria novae-zelandiae CBS 107.79. Its description in RNAcentral is "tRNA-Val". Lineage: Eukaryota; Fungi; Ascomycota; Dothideomycetes; Pleosporales; Didymosphaeriaceae. The record is from RNAcentral.